GUGGGCACCUGAUGUAUGGGUUAUCUUGCAGGAAUGGAGAACAGCUGAGAGAUGAAAGAGUGAAAAGCAACAAAGUUCUGCCAGAUGCAAAAAGUAAAUGAGCAGAAGGAAACCCAAAACUAUUCAUUUUUGCUGUCACUUUCUUUGUUACCUCUCCGGACAAGUGUGAUAUCCAAGUUAACCACAUUGUCCUUUUUUCUUGUCCUUGAUGUAUUUGUAUCUUUGCAUUUAUUGUUAGGUUUUGUCAUGUUAUCAACUUCCAAGAGUGGUACACCAAAUCAGAUGUUUCUGCUCAAAGCUGUAAGUCUCCAAAUAGGACGAGUGAAUUUGGUUUCUUCCCUAAAAGUUCAAAAUGUCCUUGCUUGCUCCUAGGGUCCUCCAUGGGCUGCUAUUCUGGUUAAAUUCAAGAGCUUGGUUCCGGAGUCUUUGCUCCAUGAGGGAGAUCAGGCUUCUUCCUUUGAGAGCUUGCUCCUGACCUGAAUGACAAAGAAACUGAAACAAGGGCAGGGUGAAGCUAGGGAAGGUUUGCUCACUGAUGUAGCUCAUUAGAGGACUUCACUGCCUUGCUACUGAGCCUUUUGGUUCUGCCAAGUUUCUUGAUGAGAGCUGCAGGAGUAACAAUAGAAAAGUAGGUCAGGAGUAGAUCUUGUAAAUCUACUCAAAGGGCCAAGAGCACAUUUUGUGUAGAAGAAGAAAAGAGAGAAAGGAAAAAAAGAAAUAGGAAGAUUUUAGGGUGAAGAGAAGAACAGGAAGGCCAGAAGUUUAGGUGGAAGUCUUAAACACUGAAAUUUUUGGCCUUCGUCUGGACUUGCAGCAUGGCCACAAAGUUGCUGUGUGCUGUUUCCAGAUUGCUGGAGGUAUCUGACCCACCUGCCAGGUCAUUUUCAACCAAAAUUAUGUGGCAGGCCAGUGAGGAGUUAAGAUUCAGAUAAAGCAGAAUUGAUACACCAGUUACUAUUUUGGGGAUAGGCACAGAAAUAUUUGGAAUGCUAUCAAGCAGCUGUUAUGGUCUUUUAACCCCUCUAAGCUGGGAGCUACUUGGGUAGGGGAAGAAAAUGAGUCUAUCUUUUUUUCCCUGUAAGUCGGAUGAUGCAUGUAUAUGGAUUGCUUACUGAUAUGAUUCAACUGUAUGAGCAGAAUAACAAUGAUGUUACUGUGUACUCAUAGGAGUAUUUCUCAAAGAUUUCCUAUAUACCUGAAUUUUGUCCCCCAUCCCAUUGCUCUGUCUUUUAAUUAAAUUCUACCCUGAAUUGAUUACAUCUAGAUUUUCCCAUGAGGCUGUAGAAGUGAAUUUACUUCUGUUCUUCUAUCUGUAAAGCUUGUUGUUUAAAUCUUUUCUCUCUCUGUCCUUUUUUUUAAAGAAGAUUUGCUGAUUGCAAUUUGA
Long non-coding RNA from Harpia harpyja (harpy eagle), 1384 nucleotides. RefSeq lists it as uncharacterized. NCBI's taxonomy places the organism in Eukaryota, Metazoa, Chordata, Aves, Accipitriformes, Accipitridae. The record is from RefSeq and is a predicted model, not a curated record. The transcript has 3 exons.